RNAcentral lists this ribosomal RNA (253 nucleotides) under uncultured bacterium. Its description in RNAcentral is "partial 16S ribosomal RNA". It matches the Rfam family "Bacterial small subunit ribosomal RNA", at positions 524 to 776 of the family's 1533-position model. The record is from RNAcentral.
UACGUAGGUGGCAAGCGUUGUCCGGAUUUACUGGGUGUAAAGGGCGUGUAGACGGGUUUGAAAGUCAGGUGUGAAAUGCCGCAGCUUAACUGCGGAGCUGCAUUUGAAACUUCAAAUCUUGAGUGUGGGAGAGGAAAGCGGAAUUCCUAGUGUAGCGGUGAAAUGCGUAGAUAUUAGGAGGAACACCAGUGGCGAAGGCGGCUUUCUGGACCAUAACUGACGUUGAGGCGCGAAAGCGUGGGGAGCAAACAGG